GUAUUCCACUGGUUGAGGGCUACAGGAUUUGUUGAACGCCGUGCUAUGCCACUGGAACUUGAGAUACUCAUUCUGGAAGGAACUGGGCUGCAAUUGGCCCACUCAGUGUACAGAACCAUAGCAAUAUCCACAACAGAGUGGCUACAACCACAGAGGGUCCAUUUUUAACACUGUCUCACAAUCCUGACGAGCAACAUGCCAAUUCUGAAGUUUUA
Molecule: long non-coding RNA, 215 nt
Organism: Lacerta agilis (Sand lizard)
Lineage: Eukaryota; Metazoa; Chordata; Lepidosauria; Squamata; Lacertidae
Exons: 2
Source: RefSeq, a predicted model, not a curated record